UUUGAUAGUAAAAUUGAAUAUUAAACGAUUAAUAGCUAUUUUCUUUAAAGUUAAAUUUUAUGGCGGUAUUUUAAACUUUUCAGAGGAACCUGUCCUAUAAUUGAUAGUCCACAAUUUAAUUUAUUUUAAUUAGAAAUUUACAUAUCGUCGUAAAAGAAUAUUUUUUUAGGAUUUAAAUAUUUAAAAUUUUUUUAAAAAAAUAAAUCAGAUCAAGGUGUAGUUUAUAUUAAAAUAGAGAUGGGUUACAAUAAAAAUGAAUUUUUGGAUAUUAUUUUUUAAAAGUAAUUGAAAUUGGAUUUGAAUGUAAUUUAAUAUAAAUAUAUUGAAUGAUUUAGCUCUAAAAUAUGU
This 348-nucleotide ribosomal RNA is filed under the name Azya orbigera. RNAcentral describes it as "partial 12S ribosomal RNA". The record is from RNAcentral. Lineage: Eukaryota; Metazoa; Arthropoda; Insecta; Coleoptera; Coccinellidae.